GAUCCUGGCUCAGGAUGAACGCUAGCGACAGGCUUAACACAUGCAAGUCGAGGGGCAGCGGGGGUAGCAAUACCCGCCGGCGACCGGCGCACGGGUGAGUAACGCGUAUGCAACUUACCUAUCAGAGGGGGAUAACCCGGCGAAAGUCGGACUAAUACCGCAUGAAGCAGGGGUCCCGCAUGGGGAUAUUUGCUAAAGAUUCAUCGCUGAUAGAUAGACAUGCGUUCCAUUAGGCAGG
This 238-nucleotide ribosomal RNA is filed under the name uncultured bacterium. RNAcentral's name for it is "partial 16S ribosomal RNA". It matches the Rfam family "Bacterial small subunit ribosomal RNA", at positions 15 to 249 of the family's 1533-position model. The record is from RNAcentral.